Molecule: ribosomal RNA, 536 nt
Filed under: Triticum aestivum (bread wheat)
Lineage: Eukaryota; Viridiplantae; Streptophyta; Magnoliopsida; Poales; Poaceae
Description: partial small subunit ribosomal RNA
Source: RNAcentral
UCACGAGUCACGCCCGACCCCCUCCUCCUCCUCUCCUCCUCCUCCCGUCCUUCCUCAAAACCCUAGCCGCCGCCCCCCUCCUCCUCCCACCUCAGUCGCCGCCGCCUCCUCCUCCUCCUCCUCCUCCCACCUCAGUCGCCUCCUAGGAGAGCUCGACACGAUGGGGUGGCCGUGGAGCACGCCCCGUCCGGAGAGACAAGGCGGCUCCCGAGCAGGGCAUCCGACAGCGCUGGCUUCUCCUCCCCUACGCCGCCGCUGCCCACCCCUCCUCAUCUCGUGCGGGCACGGAGGUGAGCUUCUCCGAUGGCGGCAGCGACCUGCAGUCAAAGGGCGACGGCGACGGCGCUCGAUUUGAUCUACAGGAGAGAGGGAAGAUGAGACGGAGAGAGAGAAGGAAGGAGAGGAGGUAGAAAUAGAGAGGAAAGAGGAGAGGGAUGUGCGCCAGCCAGCGGGAGAGGGUCACCGGAAGGAACAACUGGUCAUUGUUCACACCGCGCUAGGCCAGAGAUGGCUCUGUACUGCCCACACGUAUGCAG